GACAGAGGGUGCAAACGUUGUUCGGAAUUACUGGGCGUAAAGGGUGCGUAGGCGGGUCUUUAAGUCAGGGGUGAAAUCCUGGAGCUCAACUCCAGAACUGCCUUUGAUACUGAAGAUCUUGAGUUCGGGAGAGGUGAGUGGAACUGCGAGUGUAGAGGUGAAAUUCGUAGAUAUUCGCAAGAACACCAGUGGCGAAGGCGAGUCUCUGGCACGCAUCUGACGCUGAAACACGAAAGCCAGGGGAGCGAACGGG
This 253-nucleotide ribosomal RNA is filed under the name uncultured bacterium. Its description in RNAcentral is "partial 16S ribosomal RNA". It matches the Rfam family "Bacterial small subunit ribosomal RNA", at positions 524 to 776 of the family's 1533-position model. The record is from RNAcentral.